CCUACGGGUGGCAGCAGUGAGGAAUAUUGGUCAAUGGGCUUACGCCUGAACCAGCCAAGUCGCGUGAGGGAAGACUGCCCUAUGGGUUGUAAACCUCUUUUGUCAGGGAGCACUUGGCGCUACGUGUAGCGUUAUCGAUAGUACCUGAAGAAAAAGCAUCGGCUAACUCCGUGCCAGCAGCCGCGGUAAGACGGAGGAUGCGAGCGUUAUCCGGAUUUAUUGGGUUUAAAGGGUGCGUUGGGGGAAUGCAACGUCAGCGGUAAAAUCGCGGGGCUAAACCUCGCUCUGCCGUUGAAACUGGCGUUCUUGAGUGGGCGAGAGGUAUGCGGAAUGCGUGGUGUAGCGGUGAAAUGCAUAGAUAUCACGAAGAACUCCGAUUGCGAAGGCAGCAUACCGGCGCCCAACUGACGCUGAAGCACGAAAGCGUGGGUAUCGAACAGGAUUAGAUACACGUGUAGUC
RNAcentral lists this ribosomal RNA (460 nucleotides) under uncultured bacterium. Its description in RNAcentral is "partial 16S ribosomal RNA". It matches the Rfam family "Bacterial small subunit ribosomal RNA", at positions 338 to 795 of the family's 1533-position model. The record is from RNAcentral.